GACUACCAGGGUAUCUAAGCCCGUUCGCUCCCCACGCUUUCGUGCCUCAGUGUCAGAAAUGGGCCAGUCACCUGCCUACGCCAUUGGUGUUCCUCCCUAUAUCUACGGAUUUCACUCCUACACAGGGAAUUCCAGUGACCUCUCUCAUUCUCGAGUUUGCCAGUUUGAAUAAUAGCCUUAUGGUUGAGCCACAAGAUUUCACUAUUCACUUAACAAACCACCUACGCAACUCUUUACGCCCAGUAAAUCCGGAUAACGCUUGGAUCCUCCGUAUGACCGCGGCUGCUGGCACGGAGUUAGCCGAUCCUUAUUCAUAAGUUACCGUCAUAUUCUUCACUUAUAAAAGCAGUUUACAAUCCGAAAACCUUCAUCCUGCACGCGGCGUUGCUCCAUCAGGCUUGCGCCCAUUGUGGAAAAUUCCUCACUGCAGCCCCCCGUAGG
RNAcentral lists this ribosomal RNA (441 nucleotides) under uncultured bacterium. RNAcentral describes it as "partial 16S ribosomal RNA". The record is from RNAcentral.